Molecule: small RNA, 1054 nt
Filed under: Pongo abelii (Sumatran orangutan)
Lineage: Eukaryota; Metazoa; Chordata; Mammalia; Primates; Hominidae
Description: retained intron
Source: RNAcentral
AUUUUCUCACUGCUUCCUACUAAAGGACGGACAGAGCAUUUGUUCUUCAGCCACAUACUUUCCUUCCGCUGGCCAGCAUUCUCCUCUAUUAGACUAGAACUGUGGAUAAACCCCAGAUGUGAAUUUCUUCAAAGUAAGAAAUCCUCAGAGGAAAUUACCCAGUAUAUUCAAAGCUACCAGGGAUUUGUUGACGUAACGGGAGAACAUUUUGUGAAUUCCUGGGUCCAGAGAGAAUUACCUAUGGCAUCAGCUUAUUGCAAUGACAGCAUCUUUGCUUACGAAGAACUACGGCUGGACUCUUUUAAGGACUGGCCCCGGGAAUCAGCUGUGGGAGUUGCAGCACUGGCCAAAGCAGGUCUUUUCUACACAGGUAUAAAGGACAUCUUCCAGUGCUUUUCCUGUGGAGGGUGUUUAGAGGAAGGUGAUGACCCAUUAGACAAUCACACCAGAUGUUUUCCCAAGUGAGUGAAAUGAAUGUUAACCAUCUGCGACUUUGGAUGCACUUCAACAUUUUUUUUUUCCUCAUUUCCUGCCUUAUUUUAUCUUUAGAUUGAGUCUUUAUCCACUUUUCUGAUUCAGGCUAUGAAGGAUGAGUCUUCAUGUCUUUCAUCCCUUUGCUCCAUGACCCCCUUCCUGUACUAGCCUUCGCCUCUUUAUAGUUAUGGCAUAGUUUUGGCUAGAUUCAUAUUUUCACAUUACAUGUUUACAUUAUCAUGACUAUAUAAAUGCUAAGCGGAGCUGAAGCUUGUGGUAAAUUUUUAUUUAUUUUCCCUUCCUGUACAUCCUUUUAUUUUUUUAAGAAGUAAUAACGGUCCUGUUAGUAUGUUUGCUUAUUUUUUUUUUCCUGAGGUAAAAUUCACAUAGUAACCAUUUUAUUUAUUUAUUUAUUAUUUUUUGUAACAGGGUCUCUCUCUUCCCCAGGUUGGAGUGCAGUGGUGCAAUCACGGCUCACUGCAGCCUUGACCUCUCUGGCUCAAGCAGUCUUCCUCGCUCAGCCUCCCAAGUAGCUGGGACUACAGGCACGUGUCUCCACACCCAGCUAAUUUUUUUUUUU